This 253-nucleotide ribosomal RNA is filed under the name uncultured bacterium. Its description in RNAcentral is "partial 16S ribosomal RNA". It matches the Rfam family "Bacterial small subunit ribosomal RNA", at positions 524 to 776 of the family's 1533-position model. The record is from RNAcentral.
UACGUAGGGUGCAAGCGUUAAUCGGAAUUACUGGGCGUAAAGGGCGCGUAGGCGGCGUGACAAGUCACUUGUGAAAUCUCCGGGCUUAACUCGGAACGGUCAAGUGAUACUGUCGUGCUAGAGUACAGAAGGGGCAACUGGAAUUCUCGGUGUAGCGGUGAAAUGCGUAGAUAUCGAGAGGAACACCUGCGGCGAAGGCGGGUUGCUGGGCUGAUACUGACGCUGAGGCGCGAAAGCUAGGGGAGCGAACGGG